CCUUAGAGUUUGAUCCUGGCUCAGAGCGAACGCUGGCGGCAGGCUUAACACAUGCAAGUCGAGCGGGCCCUUCGGGGUCAGCGGCGGACGGGUGAGUAACGCGUGGGAACGUGCCUUCUGGUUCGGAAUAACCCUGGGAAACUAGGGCUAAUACCGGAUACGCCCUUUUGGGGAAAGGUUUACUGCCGGAAGACCGGCCCGCGUCUGAUUAGCUAGUUGGUGGGGUAACGGCCUACCAAGGCGACGAUCAGUAGCUGGUCUGAGAGGAUGAUCAGCCACACUGGGACUGAGACACGGCCCAGACUCCUACGGGAGGCAGCAGUGGGGAAUAUUGGACAAUGGGCGCAAGCCUGAUCCAGCCAUGCCGCGUGAGUGAUGAAGGCCUUAGGGUUGUAAAGCUCUUUUAUCCGGGACGAUAAUGACGGUACCGGAGGAAUAAGCCCCGGCUAACUUCGUGCCAGCAGCCGCGGUAAUACGAAGGGGGCUAGCGUUGCUCGGAAUCACUGGGCGUAAAGGGCGCGUAGGCGGCGUUUUAAGUCGGGGGUGAAAGCCUGUGGCUCAACCACAGAAUGGCCUUCGAUACUGGGACGCUUGAGUAUGGUAGAGGUUGGUGGAACUGCGAGUGUAGAGGUGAAAUUCGUAGAUAUUCGCAAGAACACCGGUGGCGAAGGCGGCCAACUGGACCAUUACUGACGCUGAGGCGCGAAAGCGUGGGGAGCAAACAGGAUUAGAUACCCCUGUAGUCCUGGCAGUAAACGGUGCACGCUUGGUGUGCGGGGAAUCGACCCCCUGCGUGCCGGAGCUAACGCGUUAAGCGUGCCGCCUGGGGAGUACGGCCGCAAGAUUAAAACUCAAAGAAAUUGACGGGGACCCGCACAAGCGGUGGAGUAUGUGGCUUAAUUCGAUGCAACGCGAAGAACCUUACCUGGGCUUGACAUGUAAUGAACAACAUGUGAAAGCAUGCGACUCUUCGGAGGCGUUACACAGGUGCUGCAUGGCCGUCGUCAGCUCGUGUCGUGAGAUGUUUGGUUAAGUCCAGCAACGAGCGCAACCCCUGUUGCCAGUUACCAGCACGUGAAGGUGGGGACUCUGGCGAGACUGCCCAGAUCAACUGGGAAGAAGGUGGGGACGACGUCAGGUCAGUAUGGCCCUUAUGCCCAGGGCUGCACACGUACUACAAUGCCCAGUACAGAGGGGGCCGAAGCCGCGAGGCGGAGGAAAUCCUAAAAACUGGGCCCAGUUCGGACUGUAGGCUGCAACCCGCCUACACGAAGCCGGAAUCGCUAGUAAUGGCGCAUCAGCUACGGCGCCGUGAAUACGUUCCCGGGUCUUGCACACAGCGCCCGUCA
Molecule: ribosomal RNA, 1349 nt
Filed under: uncultured bacterium
Lineage: Bacteria
Description: partial 16S ribosomal RNA
Rfam family: Bacterial small subunit ribosomal RNA
Source: RNAcentral